UCACAUUUUUGUGUUGAAAUAGAUUAGCCUAUGCCCUGUAUGUCAUCGAUGCGCUACUUCAAAGAUGUGAGGAAAAGAACAUACACCUGCGAGUAGUCUGUUACAUUGCCUGUGUUAUUGCCUCACAUUUGCAGAAAUCAGGGGAGGGCAUAUCACACAACAUUGCAUUGGCCGUACCAGCAUUUCAUGUUUAUGGACACAAAUUGCCCUGCCAGAUCAAGUACAGUACCAGAUUGCUUGAUGGGUUUGGGCUCACAGACGGGGAAGGAAUGGAAAGGCUGUGGUCUUUCCUCCAAAGAUUUGCCAGAGUCACAAAGGAGAUGACUCCAUCUCAUCGCCUUGACCUACUGACUGAUGCCCUUUUGCAUUAUGGACGGAGGAAAUCAACUGACCUAGGUGCAGCUACUGCAAAGAGUAGACAAAGCAGAGAAAAUAUUGAUUCUUGCUCAGGAAGAUAUCUCAUGUCAUCAGAGAGGCAUCAGGUAAACAAUGCACAUAAGAAGCAGUGUUGAUUUCUGAAGGAGACAUGGAGAGAUGGAAAAAGCUAGCCCAACAGAAACCAAUAAGUAAGGAACUGAAGUUAAAGUCUUAAAUACUACACUGUCUGUAGAUGGAAAAGGGACUACAUCAUCAGACUGAUUCAGUUCUACAAGUUCAAAAUUGAGGACUCUGCUGAACAUUGAGGAAAAAAUACCGUAUCGGGAGAAGAUGGCAAGAGUCUGAUUCAAACUUCCAGUCUACCCUUAAAGAUGUGGACCGUGAGCUCAGAGUCCAACUGUAAGGCUAGAACUGAAUCAAGGGAGAGAGCAGUCGUCCUCCACCUGAGAAGAAUAUAUCCAGCUUUGCUUCAGAUGGGCAGGGCAUUGCCAUUAGACUCUCCAAGCAGGUAGCCAAUUGAUUUUCAGGAAUCAUGUGAUCCCUCUUGGCAUGUCUACUUCUGCUUUAAUGACACUAUUGAAGAAGAUGAUGUUUCGAGGAGUCUAAAAAGGCGAGGGAUUGAUGCCUUACAUAUGAAGACUCGGGCAGCUGAGAAAAAGUGCGUGCUUUACCAGGAAAUGAGAAGUCUAAGGGGCCAGUCACACCAAAAGCGUUUAUGGCAGUUGCAGGCGCCUUUUUUGAAUGAUAUUCUAUGGGCAGGGCGCGUUUGCGCGCUGUUUAUGAGCGCCUUGCUGUUUUUUGCCGCCUGCCACGCACGCAUUUUUGAAGGAGCGCUGAGAGCGGAGAAGCGCCCGACGUCAUUCGCGUCUUUCCAUUGUCCAAUCGAAUGAGGGGAGAGGCGGGCCUUACGUUGUGGUGAGUGAAGUUUACAGUUGCUUUGAAGAACCGGAAUCCACUCGCUCACUCUCUCCUGCGUGUUUGUGCACCCCUCACCCUCAAACAGGGUCAGAGCAAGCGCCCUCUUUUUAAAGUUUCUGCUAAUAUGACAGUUAACAGCAAAAGAGCGCUCACGCUUCAAUAUUUGAUUGACAAGACAGCUGACUCGGUGGUUGCUUAGCAAUAUGAAAAGCCGCGUCGCACUGCUCUUUUUUUUAAAAAAGGCAGUGCGUCGCGCCUUGUGUUUGCAAGCGUUUAAAGCGCUUUUGGUGUGACUGGCUCCUAACUGAACUCCCCAUCAGCAGCAGGCCUCUAACAUUUGUGCUCUAACAUCAAAGACACUGAGCAGCCUGGUGCAAAAGCUGCUCUCAUUCAACACCUCCAACAGCUGGAAAGAAAACUACAUCAAGCCAUUGUGAUGUUUCACCCACAUCUAUCGGACAUUGUUCCUGCAGACAACCCCCACUUGUGUCAGGCCCUCCCCAUGCCAAGCAUACAGACACUGGUAUACAAUGAUAAGAGUGAUAAUGAUGAAAAUGUGGAUAAAUAUGAUAACUAGCACUACAGAUUUUUUGUUAAUUUUUAGUCUGAUAUUGUAUUCUGUAAAAAGAAAGAUGUAAAAUGUAUAGUAUAUGUUGCAGCAUAUCAUAGAAACCUUUAUGGUGGUGAAAUAUAAUGUUCGCCU
This is a non-coding RNA of Misgurnus anguillicaudatus (oriental weatherfish), 1999 nucleotides long. The record is from RefSeq and is a predicted model, not a curated record. Lineage: Eukaryota; Metazoa; Chordata; Actinopteri; Cypriniformes; Cobitidae.